Ziziphus jujuba (common jujube) is the source of this 94-nucleotide small nucleolar RNA. RefSeq annotates it as small nucleolar RNA SNORD34. The record is from RefSeq and is a predicted model, not a curated record. Lineage: Eukaryota; Viridiplantae; Streptophyta; Magnoliopsida; Rosales; Rhamnaceae. The transcript has a single exon.
GAGGCCUGUGAUGAUUUCAAAACUAAUUUGCCUACAUUGUUUGAUUAUCUGCUUUUUUGGAUAAUGAAAAAUUAUAAUCAUAUCUGAGGCCUUC